GGGGAAUAUUGGACAAUGGGCGAAAGCCUGAUCCAGCAAUGCCGCGUGAGUGAUGAAGGCCUUCGGGUUGUAAAGCUCUGUCGGGAGGGACGAAAAAGCGGAAUAAUAACCCGCAUUGACGGUACCUUCAAAGGAAGCACCGGCUAACUCUGUGCCAGCAGCCGCGGUAAUACAGAGGGUGCAAGCGUUGUUCGGAAUUACUGGGCGUAAAGCGCGUGUAGGUUGUUUCGUAAGUCUGAUGGGAAAUCCCUCGGCUUAACCGAGGACGUGCAUUCGAUACUGCGGGACUAGAGUACUGGAGGGGAUGGUGGAAUUCCCGGUGUAGAGGUGAAAUUCGUAGAGAUCUGGAGGAAUACCGGUGGCGAAGGCGGCCCCCUGGACGAAGACUGACGCUCAGGUGCGAAAGCGUGGGGAGCAAAC
This 420-nucleotide ribosomal RNA is filed under the name uncultured bacterium. RNAcentral describes it as "bacterial SSU rRNA". It matches the Rfam family "Bacterial small subunit ribosomal RNA", at positions 356 to 773 of the family's 1533-position model. The record is from RNAcentral.